This 477-nucleotide unclassified non-coding RNA is filed under the name Helotiales sp. 5 CG-2012. RNAcentral's name for it is "sequence contains ITS1, 5.8S rRNA gene, ITS2". The stretch from base 171 to 324 matches the Rfam family "5.8S ribosomal RNA". Lineage: Eukaryota; Fungi; Ascomycota; Leotiomycetes; Helotiales. The record is from RNAcentral.
UACCGAGUUCAUGCCCUGACGGGUAGACCUCCCACCCUAUGUUAUAUUACCUUUGUUGCUUUGGCGGGCCGCCCGGCUUCGGCCAGGCUACCGGCUCCAGCUGGUAAGCGCUCGCCAGAGGACCCCCAACUCUGAAUAUCAGUGUAGUCCGAGUACUAUAUAAUAGUUAAAACUUUCAACAACGGAUCUCUUGGUUCUGGCAUCGAUGAAGAACGCAGCGAAAUGCGAUAAGUAAUGUGAAUUGCAGAAUUCAGUGAAUCAUCGAAUCUUUGAACGCACAUUGCGCCCGCUGGUAUUCCGGCGGGCAUGCCUGUCCGAGCGUCAUUAUGACCAAUCAAGCUCUGCUUGGCCUUGGGGCCUGCUAUACCGGCGGUCCUUAAAACCAGUGGCGGUGCCGUCUGGCCCUAAGCGUAGUAAUUCUCCUCGCUAUAGAGCUCUAGACGUCUACUCGCCAGAACCCCCAACUUCUCAAGGUUG